RNAcentral lists this ribosomal RNA (219 nucleotides) under uncultured bacterium. RNAcentral describes it as "partial 16S ribosomal RNA". It matches the Rfam family "Bacterial small subunit ribosomal RNA", at positions 28 to 248 of the family's 1533-position model. The record is from RNAcentral.
GACGAACGCUGGCGGCGUGCUUAACACAUGCAAGUCGAGCGGAAAGGCCCUUUCGGGGGUACUCGAGCGGCGAACGGGUGAGUAACACGUGAGUAACCUGCCCCAGUCUUUGGGAUAACCCUCGGGAAACGGGGGCUAAUACCGGAUAUGACCUGGUCUCGCAUGGGAUCGGGUGGAAAGUUUUUUCGGUCUGGGAUGGGCUCGCGGCCUAUCAGCUUG